GGUAGAAAUAACCAAAGAAGAGGCUAACGAAUCUUAAUGAUGCCUUGUCCAAAACAGAAACGGGAUGCUAAUGGAACACGAGGCUGUACUAUGGCGAUUCAGCAUUGCUUGGGGGAGUAACUUGCUACAGUCAUCGUUUCACUCAUCACUUCAGAUAUGUUUUGCAGCUGUUCUUAAAAGAGACAUGCAGUGAUCCGUGACCCAGCUCUGACUUGACCACAGAACUGUCUGCACAUGUAAGGCCUGGAGGUGUCUGCAAGUUACUUCUGCUGACUACCAUGCUAGGAUCUCCCAAGGUGGGAUUUUGUAUUCUUUUAGGCACAAUCCGCGCUGUGUGCAAAGAAGCCUGGAAGACUGUGCGUGCCCCAGCUGCCCCAGGCUGCCCCUGAAAAUCUCUGUCCCUUUGCUUAAGCCCUGCCUCCUACACCUUGAAAAUUCCCUUUCUCCCCUCCCUUUGGGAACAAGGUGUUUUUAGGGCAGAGCUCUCCCUUCUCCCAUCCUAGUUCAAUGAUUACGUUUCUGCUCUGCCAUAUGGAGCCCGGUUUUGUUUGAUUGGCAUUUGCAACUUCCGGCAAAGGACCCACUGAGGGAUCACAUCCCUUUGCUCUUGGUUGUUCCGUCGCCAAGUCGGGUCUGACUCUUCGCAACCCCA
Non-coding RNA from Odocoileus virginianus texanus, 652 nucleotides. NCBI's taxonomy places the organism in Eukaryota, Metazoa, Chordata, Mammalia, Artiodactyla, Cervidae. The record is from RefSeq and is a predicted model, not a curated record.